GUCCACGCCGUAAACGAUGGAUACUAGCUGUUGGGCGCAAGUUCAGUGGCUAAGCGAAAGUGAUAAGUAUCCAACCUGGGGAGUACGUUCGCAAGAAUGAAACUCAAAGGAAUUGACGGGGGCCCCGCACAAGCGGUGGAGCAUGUGGUUUAAUUCGAUGAUACGCGAGGAACCUUACCAAGGCUUAAAUGUAGAUUGACCGAUUUGGAAACAGAUCUUUCGCAAGACAAUUUACAAGGUGCUGCAUGGUUGUCGU
Molecule: ribosomal RNA, 256 nt
Filed under: uncultured bacterium
Lineage: Bacteria
Description: partial 16S ribosomal RNA
Rfam family: Bacterial small subunit ribosomal RNA
Source: RNAcentral